AGAAGCCCCACGAUCCCAAUUUCCCCUGAAUCAUGGUUACUUCCCUCCAAGCUUACCACGAGGCUUCUGGAUUCUUACUUCUGGCUUUUUGAUAGGCGCCUAGAUGCUUUUGCAAGCCUGAGGUGUCAUGCUUCCAGCCUGCCGGGUCCACGUGUGGAAGCCUGGUGUCUCAGGCACGGCUACAUCACCGAGUAUUGUCAGUCCGGGAACCCAGGCCCUCAGCUGUCCCCUCUGCAUCUCUGUCCCCUGAGCCACAGAUCACAGAACCACCAGUUCCUGGCUGUGGCUGCUCCUGAAAAACCUUAAAUUGAGUGAAAAGGCCUGUCAAACCCAAGAGGUUUCAGAUGAAACAUUUCAAGCUCAGCAAGCAAAGUCUGCUUAGCAAAAUGCCUGUAGGAUGUUAUUGAAACAGUGUGGACUAUCCCUGCAACAUCACUCAAGUAAGAACUAAAAAGAUGACCCUGUAGAGCUGCUCUACGUAGGCAUUGAUGGCCUAAGACUGUCAGAAGGUCACCUCUGUUACGUUCCUAUCUUGUGCUGCAGAGCUCUGAGUCAAGGUGCUCUGUGACAUCAGGAGACAGUCCAUACUGUAAGAAAUAUACUUGAGAGGAAGAUGAAGGUGAAGUGAAGCGUUAUACUAAUUCCAGGAGAAAUCUGUUCUCUCUCCUCCUGGAUCCAAGGAAGAAGAGUUGUCAAUAACCUAGAACUUUAUCAGUGAUGCCAAAAGAGACAGAGAUCAGACCAUGUCUGAAAGACAGUUACUUCAGAAACCGUGCAAGUGCAGCAGUCUGCUGGACUUCUUCACAUCCUUCUGCUGAAUGCAGCUAAGGACAUGAAUCCCAUGAGAUGGGUCUCAUCCUAGUCCUAUGGCAACAAAACUCUAGUGAUAUCGAACAAUUAAUUGGGAUUUACACAUCUCUGCAUGAAAAGAGGCACAAAUCUUUAUGCAUGGUAUUUUUUCCAUUUUUAAAAAGCUCUGAAAUCUAGUAUGGUUCUGAUAAUACCAAGGGAUAAAGCAUUAACUUUCUUCAAAUCUACUUUCUUAAGGAGUUCUCUUCCUUACCUCUUGUGUAAUUUUACAACCUGUGCCAAAAAAGGAUCAGCAAAAAAUAAAAGAAAGGCAUGUGAGCUCAGUUCUGCAAAGUUUGCAAUGACCUGGCACUGCCACUGAGGGCCUCUUCCAAACCUCAGGGAAGUUAAUAAAAAGGCUAUCGGAUCAAUUCUUUAAGCACUUGCUUAAUUUUAAACCUGUGGCUAGUGACAAGGAAGUCAUUUGUUUUAACAUUUACGCUUAUCUGCUUUGCUGGAUCUUGACCAAGCAGCUCAAUGACUGGCAGAUAUAGCCCCAAAAUGUUUAGUACAUUAUUCAGUCCUCACUUUUGUGCCCUGUUUGUUAACGCUUUAUUUCUGUUGCUGUUCUGCUGUCCCCCCCAGGCUGAUGGGGGCGGAGUGGAACUACAUCAAUAGGAAAGAAUCAGGCUACACGGAGUUUCUAGCAGGCCACUGGAAAAAUUAUUUUACUGCUGCUUCAGGUAGAUUUAUGUAGAGUGUUCUCAAUGCUUAUUUACUGAGUCAGCAGUUUUCUAGGCAAAAAUUACUUUCUUCAGCAUGCAGAAAUGACCAGUGGUUGAAAACCUCCAUGCUGAGAAAUAAGUUCUAUUUAGACAAGCUGAGCCCUAAGAUAUUAUCUGAUUAUAUCCCAUUCUGGUUUUCACUCUCCAAGGUUUAAGCUGCUAUGCCCUAAAAAUUUUGUUACAACACCCCACUUCUACUAGCUCUCUGUACUGUGCAUUCCCAUUAAAAUCGUGGGGAACUCUGA
This is a long non-coding RNA of Rhea pennata, 1819 nucleotides long. RefSeq lists it as uncharacterized. The record is from RefSeq and is a predicted model, not a curated record. NCBI's taxonomy places the organism in Eukaryota, Metazoa, Chordata, Aves, Rheiformes, Rheidae. The transcript is spliced from 6 exons.